This 72-nucleotide transfer RNA is filed under the name Chloroflexota bacterium. RNAcentral describes it as "Chloroflexi bacterium tRNA-Arg". It matches the Rfam family "tRNA". Rfam says of the family: Transfer RNA (tRNA) molecules are approximately 80 nucleotides in length. Their secondary structure includes four short double-helical elements and three loops (D, anti-codon, and T loops). The record is from RNAcentral. Lineage: Bacteria; Bacillati; Chloroflexota.
GCCCCUGUAGCUCAGCGGAUAGAGCACUGGCCUCCGAAGCCAGUUGCGGCGGUUCGAGUCCGCCCAGGGGUA